CUGGCCACUCAGGGACCCCAGUGGCCUCUGCCUACCUAAGGCAUCACCGGGCAACAGCAACAAGCCUCCCUCAAUGCCUGCUUUGUGUGGCCCAGAUAAUGAUUUACUAACUGCAGGAAUCGGGAGGUGUGAAAGAAGAUGGCUUUCUUAACCCCCAUUGUCUCCUUGCUGGAAUGUCCCUUGGCCCGCCCCGCUGCACCUGUGCACACGGUACAGGAUGGCCCAGGUGAGCAGGAUCCAGGUCCAGGCACUGAGGUACAGGACCAGCCUGACACCCCAGCCUUCAGAGUGUUCUGGACAUCCCUGAACAGCCCCUGCCCAGCC
This 324-nucleotide long non-coding RNA is filed under the name Heterocephalus glaber (naked mole-rat). RNAcentral's name for it is "lncRNA (ENSHGLG00100042535.1)". Lineage: Eukaryota; Metazoa; Chordata; Mammalia; Rodentia; Bathyergidae. The record is from RNAcentral.